RNAcentral lists this ribosomal RNA (440 nucleotides) under uncultured bacterium. RNAcentral describes it as "partial 16S ribosomal RNA". It matches the Rfam family "Bacterial small subunit ribosomal RNA", at positions 338 to 795 of the family's 1533-position model. The record is from RNAcentral.
CCUACGGGAGGCAGCAGUGGGGGAUAUUGCACAAUGGGGGAAACCCUGAUGCAGCGACGCCGCGUGUGGGAAGACGGUCCUCUGGAUUGUAAACCACUGUCCCCAGGGACGAAGAUGCCGGUACCUGGGGAGGAAGCUCCGGCAAACUACGUGCCAGCAGCCACGGUCAUACGUAGGGAGUGAGCGUUGUCCGGAAUUACUGGGUGUAAAGGGAGCGUAGGCGGGACUGCAAGUUGGGUGUCAAAUCUACCGGCUCAACCGGUAGCCGCACUCAAAACUGCAGUUCUUGAGUGAAGUAGAGGCAGGCGGAAUUCCUAGUGUAGCGGUGAAAUGCGUAGAUAUUAGGAGGAACACCAGUGGCGAAGGCGGCCUGCUGGGCUUUUACUGACGCUGAGGCUCGAAAGUGUGGGGAGCAAACAGGAUUAGAUACCCGGGUAGUC